Molecule: long non-coding RNA, 192 nt
Organism: Daphnia pulicaria
Lineage: Eukaryota; Metazoa; Arthropoda; Branchiopoda; Diplostraca; Daphniidae
Exons: 3
Source: RefSeq, a predicted model, not a curated record
AGUGCAUGGGGUGAAGCAAUCAAUGCCCUUCCCAGCAAACACGUUAAACAGAAUAAUGAGAAAUGAAGAACAAUAAAAGAGAAAACAAAAUAUGGAAACUAGGUGUUCCAACAUCCGGGAAGGAGUGGGGGAGCAACAAAGCAGUACCAAAACAGUGGUGUUUUCCAUUUUCCAAGGAUGAUCGAAGUCCAA